GUUAAUGAACUUGUUAAAGUGUAUGCCUUGAAAUCAUAAAAAAGAGUCUAAACUCUAUUAA
RNAcentral lists this transfer RNA (61 nucleotides) under Neolucanus maximus. RNAcentral's name for it is "tRNA-Ser". The record is from RNAcentral. Lineage: Eukaryota; Metazoa; Arthropoda; Insecta; Coleoptera; Lucanidae.